CGGCAGCACGGACUUCGGUCUGGUGGCGAGUGGCGAACGGGUGAGUAAUGCGCCGGAACGUAUCCAGUAGAGGGGGAUAACGCAGCGAAAGCUGUGCUAAUACCGCAUACGCCCUGAGGGGGAAAGCAUGGGAUCUUCGGACCAUGCGUUAUUGGAGCGGCCGACGUCUGAUUAGCUAGUAGGUGAGGUAAAGGCUCACCUAGGCGAUGAUCAGUAGCUGGUCUGAGAGGAUGAUCAGCCACACUGGAACUGAGAGACGGUCCAGACUCCUACGGGAGGCAGCAGUGGGGAAUUUUGGACAAUGGGCGCAAGCCUGAUCCAGCCAUUCCGCGUGAGUGAAGAAGGCCUUCGGGUUGUAAAGCUCUUUCGGCAGGGAAGAAAAGGUUCUGGUUAAUAACUGGAACUGCUGACGGUACCUGAAGAAGAAGCACCGGCUAACUACGUGCCAGCAGCCGCGGUAAUACGUAGGGUGCGAGCGUUAAUCGGAAUUACUGGGCGUAAAGGGUGCGCAGGCGGCUCUGUAAGUCUGACGUGAAAUCCCCGGGCUUAACCUGGGAACUGCGUUGGAAACUGUAGAGCUAGAGUGUAGCAGAGGGGGGUAGAAUUCCACGUGUAGCAGUGAAAUGCGUAGAGAUGUGGAGGAAUACCGAUGGCGAAGGCAGCCCCCUGGGUUAACACUGACGCUCAGGCACGAAAGCGUGGGUAGCAAACAGGAUUAGAUACCCUGGUAGUCCACGCCCUAAACGAUGUCAACUAGUUGUUGGGGAGGGAGACCUCCUUGGUAACGCAGCUAACGCGUGAAGUUGACCGCCUGGGGAGUACGGUCGCAAGA
RNAcentral lists this ribosomal RNA (832 nucleotides) under uncultured bacterium. RNAcentral's name for it is "bacterial SSU rRNA". It matches the Rfam family "Bacterial small subunit ribosomal RNA", at positions 67 to 893 of the family's 1533-position model. The record is from RNAcentral.